RNAcentral lists this non-coding RNA (29 nucleotides) under Homo sapiens (human). Lineage: Eukaryota; Metazoa; Chordata; Mammalia; Primates; Hominidae. The record is from RNAcentral.
UGGCGCAAAUCCGAAGGGACUCUGGGAUC